AUUAUAUUAUAGGAUUGAUAUUAUUCAAUUGGUAAUCUGAUUUUUUGAGUUAAAAGGCAUGGAACCAAAUGAAGAAUCUACCUUUUCUGUUUUCUGAGUUAAAAGGCAUGGAAGUCCAUUUGGUGAAGUAAUAUUAAGUAUGUCAAACACAACAUGUGCACACAAAAAAAUCACUAGAAUCACUAAAAAAUCAACACAAAACCACGAUAAAAAAAAAAAAAAAAAAAAAAAAAAAAAAAAAAAAAUUACACACAAUCAGACACUAUAACCAUCAUCCUCACACAUCAUCCCUACAUUCGAUCAACAAAAACAAUAUCUAUUUGGUGAAGUAAACAUUCUGUCAAACACAAUAUGGGCAGCAAAAAAUCACUAGAAUCACUCAAAAAUUAACACAAAACCAAGAUAAAAAAAGUUACACA
Molecule: long non-coding RNA, 419 nt
Organism: Juglans microcarpa x Juglans regia
Lineage: Eukaryota; Viridiplantae; Streptophyta; Magnoliopsida; Fagales; Juglandaceae
Exons: 2
Source: RefSeq, a predicted model, not a curated record